UAGGGAAUCUUCCGCAAUGGACGAAAGUCUGACGGAGCAACGCCGCGUGAGUGAUGAAGGUCUUCGGAUCGUAAAACUCUGUUAUCAGGGAAGAACAAGCAUAGGAGUAACUGCCUGUGCCUUGACGGUACCUGACCAGAAAGCCACGGCUAACUACGUGCCAGCAGCCGCGGUAAUACGUAGGUGGCAAGCGUUGUCCGGAAUUAUUGGGCGUAAAGCGCGCGCAGGCGGUCCUUUAAGUCUGAUGUGAAAUCCCGUGGCUUAACCACGGGCGGUCAUUGGAAACUGGGGGACUUGAGUGCAGAAGAGAAGAGCGGAAUUCCACGUGUAGCGGUGAAAUGCGUAGAGAUGUGGAGGAACACCAGUGGCGAAGGCGGCUCUUUGGUCUGUAACUGACGCUGAGGCGCGAAAGCGUGGGGAGCGAACAGGAUUAGAUACCCGUGUAGUCC
Molecule: ribosomal RNA, 449 nt
Filed under: uncultured bacterium
Lineage: Bacteria
Description: bacterial SSU rRNA
Rfam family: Bacterial small subunit ribosomal RNA
Source: RNAcentral